UCCGAGUUGACCCCGGCAGUCUCCUCUCCCCGCGACCAGGAUGUCAAAGGCUGGUAAGGUUCUGCGCGUUGCUUCGAAUUAAACCACAUGCUCCACCGCUUGUGCAGGCCCCCGUCAAUUCCUUUGAGUUUUAAUCUUGCGACCGUACUCCCCAGGCGGAUAACUUAAUGCGUUAGCUGCGCCACCCAAGCACCAUGUGCCCGGACAGCUAGUUAUCAUCGUUUACGGCGUGGACUAC
RNAcentral lists this unclassified non-coding RNA (238 nucleotides) under uncultured Sphingomonadaceae bacterium. RNAcentral describes it as "contains 16S-23S intergenic spacer region". Lineage: Bacteria; Pseudomonadati; Pseudomonadota; Alphaproteobacteria; Sphingomonadales; Sphingomonadaceae. The record is from RNAcentral.